ACGGGGGGGGCAAGCGUUGUUCGGAAUUACUGGGCGUAAAGGGCUCGUAGGCGGCCAACUAAGUCAGACGUGAAAUCCCUCGGCUUAACCGGGGAACUGCGUCUGAUACUGGAUGGCUCGAAUCCGGGAGAGGGAUGCGGAAUUCCAGGUGUAGCGGUGAAAUGCGUAGAUAUCUGGAGGAACACCGGUGGCGAAGGCGACAUCCUGGACCGGUAUUGACGCUGAGUGAGCGAAAGCCAGGGGAGCAAACGGGA
This 254-nucleotide ribosomal RNA is filed under the name uncultured prokaryote. RNAcentral's name for it is "partial 16S ribosomal RNA". It matches the Rfam family "Bacterial small subunit ribosomal RNA", at positions 525 to 777 of the family's 1533-position model. The record is from RNAcentral.